AGCUUACUUUACGUUCAUCCUGCCCAGUGAAAUAUUUUUAACGGCCGCGGUACCCUAACCGUGCAAAGGUAGCAUAAUCAUUUGCCUUUUAAUUGUAGGCUAGAAUGAACGGAUAAACGUAAUUCUCUCUGUAUCAUUUUUAUUAAAUAAAAAUUAGACUUCAGGUGAAGAUACCUGAAUUUUUUUGAAAGACAAGAAGACCCUAUAGAGUUUUAGUAAACAACUCCUCCACACUCAUAUUACUUUGGUUGGGGCGACCUAGGAUUAAUAAAAACAUCCUUACAUAAAAAGAAUAUUUUAAUUCAUAAAAAAGACCCUGUUCUUCAGAUUUUUAAAAUUAACUACCUUAGGGAUAACAGGCUUAUCUUCCUAAAGAGUCCAAAUUGACAGGAAGGUCUGGCACCUCGAUGUUGGCUUAGAGUAACCCACUAAUGCAGAAGUUAGUACUGGUCGGUUUGUUCAACCGUUAAAUCUCU
Molecule: ribosomal RNA, 476 nt
Filed under: Branchinotogluma elytropapillata
Lineage: Eukaryota; Metazoa; Annelida; Polychaeta; Phyllodocida; Polynoidae
Description: partial 16S ribosomal RNA
Rfam family: Bacterial large subunit ribosomal RNA
Source: RNAcentral